AUUGAACGCUGGCGGCAUGCUUUACACAUGCAAGUCGAACGGCAGCACGGGGGCAGCCCUGGUGGCGAGUGGCGAACGGGUGAGUAAUACAUCGGAACGUGUUCGCCUGCGGGGGAUUACGUAGCGACAGUUACGCUAAUACCGCAUUCGAUCUGAGGAUGAAACCGGGGGACCUUCGGGUCUCGCGAGAUUGGAGCGGUGGAUGUCAGAUUUGGUAGUUGGUUGGGUGAAGGCCUACCAAGCCGGCGAUCUGUAGCUGGUCGGAGAGGACGACCGGCCAGACUGGGACGGAGACACGGCCCAGACUCCGACGGGAGGCAGCAGGGGGGAAUGUUGGACAAUGGGCGCAAGCAUGAUCCAGGCAGCCCGGGUGCAGGACGAAGGCCGUCGGGUUGUAAACGGCUUUUGUACGGAACGAAAAGGCUCUGGCUAAUACCUGGGGCUCAUGACGGUACCGGAAGAAUAAGCACCGGCUAACUACGUG
This 484-nucleotide ribosomal RNA is filed under the name uncultured bacterium. RNAcentral's name for it is "partial 16S ribosomal RNA". It matches the Rfam family "Bacterial small subunit ribosomal RNA", at positions 28 to 507 of the family's 1533-position model. The record is from RNAcentral.